Molecule: ribosomal RNA, 492 nt
Filed under: uncultured bacterium
Lineage: Bacteria
Description: partial 16S ribosomal RNA
Rfam family: Bacterial small subunit ribosomal RNA
Source: RNAcentral
AGUGAACGCUGGCGGUAGGCCUAACACAUGCAAGUCGAACGGCAGCACAGUAAGAGCUUGCUCUUACGGGUGGCGAGUGGCGGACGGGUGAGGAAUACAUCGGAAUCUACUUUUUCGUGGGGGAUAACGUAGGGAAACUUACGCUAAUACCGCAUACGACCUACGGGUGAAAGCAGGGGAUCUUCGGACCUUGCGUGAUUGAAUUAGCCGAUGUCGGAUUAGCUAGUUGGCGGGGUAAAGGCCCACCAAGGCGACGAUCCGUAGCCGACCUGAGAGGAUGAUCGGCCACACUGGAACUGAGACACGGUCCAGACUCCUACGGGAGGCAGCAGUAGGGAAUGUUGCGCAAUGGGCGAAAGCCUGACGGAGCAACGCCGCGUGAGUGAAGAAGGUCUUCGGAUCGUAAAACUCUGUUAUUAGGGAAGAACAAAUGUGUAAGUAACCAUGCACGUCUUGACGGUACCUAAUCAGAAAGCCACGGCUAACUACGUG